Molecule: ribosomal RNA, 506 nt
Filed under: uncultured bacterium
Lineage: Bacteria
Description: partial 16S ribosomal RNA
Rfam family: Bacterial small subunit ribosomal RNA
Source: RNAcentral
AGUGAACGCUGGCGGUAGGCCUAACACAUGCAAGUCGAACGGCAGCACAGGAGAGCUUGCUCUCUGGGUGGCGAGUGGCGGACGGGUGAGGAAUACAUCGGAAUCUACUUUUUCGUGGGGGAUAACGUAGGGAAACUUACGCUAAUACCGCAUACGACCUACGGGUGAAAGCAGGGGACCUUCGGGCCUUGCGCGAUUGAAUGAGCCGAUGUCGGAUUAGCUAGUUGGGGGGGUAAAGGCCCACCAAGGAGACGAUCAGUAGCUGGUCUGAGAGGAUGAUCACCCACACUGGAACGGAGACCCGGUCCAAACUCCUAGGGGAGGAAGCAGUGGGAAAUGUUGGAAAAUGGGCGCAAGCCGGAUCCAGCCAUACCGCGUGGGUGAAGAAGGCCUUGGGUUUGUAAAGCCCUUUUGUGGGGAAAGAAAUCCAGCUGGCUAAUACCCGGUUGGGAUGACGGUACCCAAAGAAUAAGCACCGGCUAACUUCGUGCCAGCCGCCGCCGUAA